RNAcentral lists this ribosomal RNA (500 nucleotides) under uncultured bacterium. Its description in RNAcentral is "partial 16S ribosomal RNA". It matches the Rfam family "Bacterial small subunit ribosomal RNA", at positions 30 to 523 of the family's 1533-position model. The record is from RNAcentral.
AUUGGACGCUGGCGGAAUGCUUCACACAUGCAAGUCGAACGAUGAACCUUAGCUUGCUAAGGGGAUUAGUGGCGAACGGGUGAGUAAUGUAUCGGAACGUAUCCAAUAGUGGGGGAUAACUAGUCGAAAGAUUAGCUAAUACCGCAUACGUCCUACGGGAGAAAGCUAGGGACCUUCGGGCCUGGCGUUAAUGGAGCGGCCGAUAUCUGAUUAGCUAGUUGGUGGGGUAAAGGCUCACCAAGGCGACGAUCAGUAGCUGGUCUGAGAGGACGACCAGCCACCCUGGAACUGAGACACGGUCCAGACUCCUACGGGAGGCAGCAGUGGGGAAUUUUGGACAAUGGGCGAAAGCCUGAUCCAGCCAUUCCGCGUGAGUGAAGAAGGCCUUCGGGUUGUAAAGCUCUUUCGCAAGGGAAGAAAACUUAAGCUCUAACAUAGCUUGAGGUUGACGGUACCUUGAUAAGAAGCACCGGCUAACUACGUGCCAGCAGCCGCGGUAA